UACGGAGGAUGCAAGCGUUAUCCGGAUUCAUUGGGUUUAAAGGGUCCGCAGGCGGGAUAAUAAGUCAGAGGUGAAAUCCUACGGCUCAACUGUAGAACUGCCUUUGAUACUGUUAUCCUAGAGUGUAGUUGAUGUGGGCGGAAUAUGUCAUGUAGCGGUGAAAUGCUUAGAUAUGACAUAGAACACCGAUCGCGAAGGCAGCUCACAAAGCUACAACUGACGCUCAGGGACGAAAGCGUGGGGAUCAAACAGGAUUAGAUACCCUAGUAGUCC
RNAcentral lists this ribosomal RNA (273 nucleotides) under uncultured prokaryote. Its description in RNAcentral is "partial 16S ribosomal RNA". It matches the Rfam family "Bacterial small subunit ribosomal RNA", at positions 524 to 796 of the family's 1533-position model. The record is from RNAcentral.